This 2044-nucleotide long non-coding RNA is filed under the name Salmo salar (Atlantic salmon). Its description in RNAcentral is "lncRNA (ENSSSAG00000089533.1)". The record is from RNAcentral. Lineage: Eukaryota; Metazoa; Chordata; Actinopteri; Salmoniformes; Salmonidae.
UGUAAGGAAGCUUGUGGAUUUUCAGGAAGCCAUCAUUGGAAUGAGUGUUGGAUGUGGGCUUUGGGUUAGGGGGCACAGAGGUAUACGUAACUUUAGGAGCAGCGGGUAGGGGUAGGGUACGGUACGGUAAUUAGCCUCAGACAGUAACAGAGCUAUAGUGAAGGCUGCUUCACACUUGUUUGGGCCAAAUCCUAACUCAAGAUCUACACACUUAAAUCACAUGUUUGCGUAAGGUCCUCAAUGACAUCAACGUCUUGCAGAGUUACGUUUUUUUUAUUUCAAAUGAGAAUUAAGCCAUUUCAGAGCAAAUAUCAGCACACAGACACACUACCACCGCUUUCAGCGGUGCUGGGAAUAUAAAUUAUUAACAAUUUUCUAUGCUCAAUGACAAAAUGUAUCCCUGCACUAACAUCCACUUCUGCACGUUUAUUUGAAUGUGUAAGUCCGAUAGACCGACAUAUUCACAAUAGUGCAGUGGUCAACGUGUGCACAGGACUCAUUUUAUAACCGCUUUUAUCAUACAUCUCUUUCCCCAGGGUUGAACAGCAAGGUCUACAUCUAAACAGGAAGGAAGUCUCAAACAGACCCAAAAAAUAACAGCAGUAGAAUCAGAUUAUCAGGAUAAGUAAAACCCCUUAAAGAUCUCAGAUCUCUGUUAGUGACAUCAUCGUUUUUAAAAUGUAUUUAUUUGUUUGCUUGUCUUUUUUAAUACAUGAGGUCUCAGUCUCUCUCAGUGCCAGUGCAGAUGUGACUUCACAUCAAGAGUCCCUUGAGCUUUGCAAUGACAACUUGACAACAACAGAUUGAGUGGUUAGAAGUGGACAGAGUUGUUUCUCUAUGACACACACACACUUUACUGGUUCAGGUCUCAUUAUUUAUGCUACAUGCAUACCUAACAUACACCUGUUAGUUAACAUGUUAACAAACAAACAGCUGUCCCCUGUCCACCUGUGAAGAUACCCGUUCUGUCUUCUCUGAGGACAAGAAUGCAGCAAAGUGGGUUUAUUUAUCCGGAACCUUCCAUCCAUUACACUGCGGGGAAACGUCCGUAGACCAGCCUGUCAGAUACAGUCACACCUGAGUCCAAGGAAACGUCCGUAGACCAGCCUGUCAGAUACAGUCACACCUGAGUCCAGGGAAACGUCCGUAGACCAGCCUAUCAGAAACAGUCACACCUGAGUCCAGGGAAACGUCCGUAGACCAGCCUGUCAGAUACAGUCACACCUGAGUCCAGGGAAACGUCCGUAGACCAGCCUGUCAGAUACAGUCACACCUGUGUCCAGGGAAACGUCCGUAGACCAGCCUGUCAGAUACAGUCACACCUGUGUCCAGGGGUAGCAGCUCAUUGUGGUGUAGGGAAGCUUGAUGUGCAGCAGAGGCUAAGGUGAACUCAGAAAGGAAAGAGAGCUCAGAGUUUUACAGUACCAUCCUGUCCUCCAAUCAGAGAGGAGAGGGAUAAGGAGUCCCCUUAUUCCCCGUCUUCAAACCUGGAUCCUCAACCCUCCUCUUGUGUAUAGGUCACAAAUCCCCUCCAACACAGAUCAAGGUGUGACAGAACCCUCCCUCACCACCACCCCCCACCCACUCUCAGCACUAGUCCCUCACUUGGUCCUCACUCACUCGCUCUCUCUCCCUCUCUUUCACCUCAGGAGAGAGAAGAAUAAAUACAAAAUAGAUCAAUAUUUAAAAAACACAUUUGAUCUGGCACACAGGACAGACUGCGAUGCUCCUCUCCUGGUGUUCUUGUUCUCGUCAGAUGUGAAAAGCCUUGGUGCGAAGAGUUCUGACUGAUCCAGUAAAUGAUUACACGGUUCUUAUCUGGAGGAUGUCUGUCUGCAGGGCACUGGUGUGCUCCACAUAAUACCCUCCCCACUUGUUCCUACGUAAAAUACCCUCACCAGUUGUAUUGGCAUCGGUGUGACCGUCUGAAGUCCAGCAUUUUAUCAGAUGAAACGUUCAGCUAUAUUAUCAUCGUGUAGUGUACUGCAUAUACAUUGUACUUUGACAUUUUGUUUUUUUAUAUAUAUAUAACGACAUUCACAUA